This 216-nucleotide ribosomal RNA is filed under the name Rhizophagus sp. (in: glomeromycetes). RNAcentral describes it as "partial small subunit ribosomal RNA". It matches the Rfam family "Eukaryotic small subunit ribosomal RNA", at positions 644 to 864 of the family's 1831-position model. Lineage: Eukaryota; Fungi; Glomeromycota; Glomeromycetes; Glomerales; Glomeraceae. The record is from RNAcentral.
GGGUUAGUAGGUUGGUCAUGCCAUCGGUAUGUACUGGUCUCACUGAUUCCUCCUUCCUGAUGAACCGUAAUGCCAUUAAUUUGGUGUUGCGGGGAGACUGGACUGUUACUUUGAAAAAAUUAGAGUGUUUAAAGCAGGCUAACGCUUGAAUACAUUAGCAUGGAAUAAUGAAAUAGGACGUUCGAUCCUAUUUUGUUGGUUUCUAGGAUUGACGUA